AUCGCUUCUCGGCCUUUUGGCUAAGAUCAAGUGUGGAAUCUGUGAAUCUAUAAGUCCUUUAAAACCAGAUUAGCCUUUGUACAUUGUAUGUUUUUUUCCUAAUACCUCAAGACUACAAGACUGCUAACUAUAGCUAAAAUUCUGAGGUGCUUCUCCUAUUUAAUUUAUGAUAUGAUGAUGCUUUUUUAU
Symphalangus syndactylus (siamang) is the source of this 189-nucleotide small nuclear RNA. RefSeq annotates it as U2 spliceosomal RNA. NCBI's taxonomy places the organism in Eukaryota, Metazoa, Chordata, Mammalia, Primates, Hylobatidae. The record is from RefSeq and is a predicted model, not a curated record.